RNAcentral lists this transfer RNA (67 nucleotides) under Marmota monax (woodchuck). Its description in RNAcentral is "tRNA.Met". It matches the Rfam family "tRNA", at positions 6 to 65 of the family's 71-position model. Rfam says of the family: Transfer RNA (tRNA) molecules are approximately 80 nucleotides in length. Their secondary structure includes four short double-helical elements and three loops (D, anti-codon, and T loops). Lineage: Eukaryota; Metazoa; Chordata; Mammalia; Rodentia; Sciuridae. The record is from RNAcentral.
GUUGUAGCUCAGUGGUAAAGCACUUGCCUCAUAUGUGUGAGGCACUGGGUUCAAUUCCUAGCACACA